This 72-nucleotide transfer RNA is filed under the name Marmota monax (woodchuck). RNAcentral describes it as "tRNA.Ile". The record is from RNAcentral. Lineage: Eukaryota; Metazoa; Chordata; Mammalia; Rodentia; Sciuridae.
GGAGGGUCGUUCAGUGGCAGAGCGCUUGCCUGAUAGGCACAGAGCCCUGGGUUCAAUCCCUAGCACCUUCCU